RNAcentral lists this ribosomal RNA (458 nucleotides) under uncultured bacterium. RNAcentral's name for it is "bacterial SSU rRNA". It matches the Rfam family "Bacterial small subunit ribosomal RNA", at positions 15 to 518 of the family's 1533-position model. The record is from RNAcentral.
GAUUAUGGCUCAGAACGAACGCUGGCGGCAGGCCUAACACAUGCAAGUCGAGCGCGCCCUUCGGGGUGAGCGGCGGACGGGUUAGUAACGCGUGGGAACGUACCCUUUGGUAGGGAAUAGCCACUGGAAACGGUGAGUAAUACCCUAUGAGCCCUUCGGGGGAAAGAUUUAUCGCCAAAGGAUCGGCCCGCGUUAGAUUAGGUAGUUGGUGGGGUAAUGGCCUACCAAGCCUACGAUCUAUAGCUGGUUUUAGAGGAUGAUCAGCAACACUGGGACUGAGACACGGCCCAGACUCCUACGGGAGGCAGCAGUGGGGAAUCUUGGACAAUGGGGGCAACCCUGAAUCCAGCCAUGCCGCGUGAGUGAAGAAGGCCUUAGGGUCGUAAAGCUCUUUCGCCUGUGAAGAUAAUGACGGUAGCAGGUAAAGAAACCCCGGCUAACUCCGUGCCAGCCGCUGC